GUUGGGUAUAUUUGUAUGGUAUGGAGAAAGGUUCAAGUUUGGGGUUGUUGGGGAGAUUUGAAAAAGAAUUGUGAAAAUAAAAAGAAAAAGAGCAUUGAGCUAAGUGUUGAACGAAAUUGAAAAAGAAAAGAAAAGAGAAGAGAAGAAGAAAAAGAAGGAAAAACUCAAUGAAUGAAAAGUUGGGAGUAAAAUGAGAAUGGUUUCUCAAAUAUAAAGGAGAAAGAGAGAUUAUAGUUAAUGAGAAAGGAAAUUGUUACUCUCUUUAACUCAAGGAAUUUUGUUGUCUAGAAAAACUAGUUUUCUUCUUAGUCUAGCCACAUUACAAGCCUUGAAAAGACCUUGUGAUGAUAACUUGCUUGGAAUGUGUUUUG
RNAcentral lists this long non-coding RNA (371 nucleotides) under Vigna radiata. RNAcentral's name for it is "long non-coding RNA (VRAD_LNC016305)". The record is from RNAcentral. Lineage: Eukaryota; Viridiplantae; Streptophyta; Magnoliopsida; Fabales; Fabaceae.